Hibiscus syriacus is the source of this 341-nucleotide long non-coding RNA. RefSeq lists it as uncharacterized. The record is from RefSeq and is a predicted model, not a curated record. Lineage: Eukaryota; Viridiplantae; Streptophyta; Magnoliopsida; Malvales; Malvaceae. The transcript is spliced from 3 exons.
ACGGGAUAGAGAAAAAUCUAAAUCCAAAUUGCACGACAUCGAUCGACCAUCCAAAGCUGUGUUUCUUUCCCCAGUAUGCAUUGAAGUAUAUCACAACGCCCUAUUUUAUCUUGAACUCAGCUUAUGAUGUAUACCAGUUUCAUCAUAGUUUGGUUCCACCUUUGACCGAUCUGCACGGGCACUGGAAUCGUUGCAAGCUUAAUCCGGCAACAUGCAAUUCAACCCAGAUUAAUGUAUUGCAAGGUUUGAGGCGAGAUAUGCUUUCGGCGCUUUAUUCAUUCUACAGAAAUUCAGGAAGAGGAGGAAUGUUUAUAAAUUCAUGCUUUGUUCAUUGUCAAAGU